Molecule: long non-coding RNA, 250 nt
Filed under: Elaeis guineensis (African oil palm)
Lineage: Eukaryota; Viridiplantae; Streptophyta; Magnoliopsida; Arecales; Arecaceae
Description: long non-coding RNA (EGUI_LNC068631)
Source: RNAcentral
GACCUCUCGACUCAAUCGCAACACUCAAGUACAUCUUUGUGCCAAAGCAUAGAUUCUUUCCAAGAAUACUCUAGAACUUGGCACAUCUAUAUCAACUCUAGAAUUUUGCCCCUUAAGUUAUAAAUAUUUCUAGAUCUCAACUCUACUCGAUCAAAAUCAGUGCGAUAACCAUAUUUGGAUCAAUCAUCAAAAGCUUUCUAUCACAUUUAUGGUUAAGAUAUAGACCAACAAGAUUAGCAUUAAAUAAGUG